This 407-nucleotide ribosomal RNA is filed under the name uncultured bacterium. RNAcentral describes it as "partial 16S ribosomal RNA". It matches the Rfam family "Bacterial small subunit ribosomal RNA", at positions 28 to 526 of the family's 1533-position model. The record is from RNAcentral.
GACGAACGCUGGCGGCGUGCCUAAUACAUGCAAGUAGGACGCAGUUGCGAACGGGUGAGUAACGCGUAGGUAACUACCUAUUAGAGGGGGAUAACUAUUGGCAACGAUAGCUAAUACCGCAUACUUGUAGAUGGACCUGCGUUGUAUUAGCUAGUAGGUAGGGUAAUGGCCUACCUAGGCAACGAAACAUAGCCGACCUUAGAGGGUGAUCGGCCACACUGGGACUGAGAGACGGCCCAGAAUCCUACGGGAGGCAGCAGUAGGGAGUAUUCGGGGAUAGGGGGAACGCUGACCGAGCAACGCCGCGUGAGUGAGGAAGGUUUACGAAUCGUAAAGCUCUGUUGUUAAGGAAGCGGUACUUAACGAGAAAGGGACGGCUAACUACGUGCCAGCAGCCGCGGUAAUUC